GGAUGCGAUCAUACCAGCACUAAAGCGCCGGAUCCCAUCAGAACUCCGAAGUUAAGCAUGCUUGGGCGAGAGUAGUACUAGGAUGGGUGACCUCCUGGGAAGUCCUCGUGUUGCAUUCC
Molecule: ribosomal RNA, 119 nt
Filed under: Aegilops tauschii subsp. strangulata
Lineage: Eukaryota; Viridiplantae; Streptophyta; Magnoliopsida; Poales; Poaceae
Source: RNAcentral